RNAcentral lists this ribosomal RNA (119 nucleotides) under Pteropus alecto (black flying fox). The record is from RNAcentral. Lineage: Eukaryota; Metazoa; Chordata; Mammalia; Chiroptera; Pteropodidae.
GUCUAUGGUCAUGCCACCUUGAAUGUGCCCGAUCUCGUCUGAUCUCAGAAGCUAAGCAAGGUCAGGCCUGGUUAGUACUUGGAUGGGAGACCACUUAGGAAUACCAGGUGCUACAGGUG